UUUGCCUACGGGGGGCAGCAGUGAGGAAUAUUGGUCAAUGGACGCAAGUCUGAACCAGCCAUGCCGCGUGCAGGAAGACGGCUGUAUGAGUUGUAAACUGCUUUUGUACGAGGGUAAAUCCCGAUACGUGUAUCGGGUUGAAAGUAUCGUACGAAUAAGGAUCGGCUAACUCCGUGCCAGCAGCCGCGGUAAUACGGAGGAUUCAAGCGUUAUCCGGAUUUAUUGGGUUUAAAGGGUGCGUAGGCGGUUCGAUAAGUUCGAGGUGAAAUCCCGGGGCUACACUGCGGCACUGCCUAUGAUAGUGU
This 305-nucleotide ribosomal RNA is filed under the name uncultured bacterium. RNAcentral describes it as "bacterial SSU rRNA". It matches the Rfam family "Bacterial small subunit ribosomal RNA", at positions 334 to 636 of the family's 1533-position model. The record is from RNAcentral.